UGCACGCAUGACUGUAUGUCGCUUUGGAUAAAAGCAUUUGCUAAAUGGCAUAUC
Non-coding RNA from Salmo salar (Atlantic salmon), 54 nucleotides. The record is from Rfam. Lineage: Eukaryota; Metazoa; Chordata; Actinopteri; Salmoniformes; Salmonidae.